Molecule: ribosomal RNA, 112 nt
Filed under: Jaculus jaculus (lesser Egyptian jerboa)
Lineage: Eukaryota; Metazoa; Chordata; Mammalia; Rodentia; Dipodidae
Source: RNAcentral
GUCUAUAGCUAUACUAUCCUAAAUGUGCCUGAUCUCAUCUGAUGUCAGAAGCUAAGGAGGAUCGAUCUUGGCUAGUAUUUGGAUGAGACAAAUCACAAAUGACUUAUAAUCC